Long non-coding RNA from Phacochoerus africanus (Common warthog), 2301 nucleotides. RefSeq lists it as uncharacterized. The transcript has 5 exons. NCBI's taxonomy places the organism in Eukaryota, Metazoa, Chordata, Mammalia, Artiodactyla, Suidae. The record is from RefSeq and is a predicted model, not a curated record.
GGACCAGGGAUCAAACCAAAGCCACAGCUGUAACCAGAGCAACAGCAGUGACAACACUGGGUCCUUAACCCUCUGAGCCACAAGGGAACUCCUUCCCACAGUUCUUGGAGUGCUGGUGGGGUUGUCCUUCAAUGCUGAGUGACUGGUACCACUCUUUACUGCCCUGGGCAAUGCUAUCAUAAUUUCUUGUUGCCAAGUUUUCAUGUGUCCCGGGAAACGUAGCUCUUCCCUUUGAAAGAUCCCUCCAUCCUCUCCCCGGCCACACGUUGCCCUCCCUCCCCAUCCCCUUGCACGACCACGUGGCUCUGUGUUCCACCUGACAGACAGUAGCUGGAACGAGAACGAAUAGCACAUGUUCACGGAAAUGAGCCAUCACACAUGGGAAAGGCUUGAGGCACACCAGCCAAUGCUCGUUGCCCUGAGGCUCCGGCUCAGAAAGAAAACAAGUACGAAGGCCAAUCCCACUCCUCCCUGAGCCUCUCAAUCCCAAUGGAAAGCUUCUUGCUUCCAUUAUCCAGUGUUUGGAGAUCCUUUUGUUGAAGGGAAACUGUACUGGGAAGACUAACGUGUAGAACACGUAGACUCCGAGGUUCUGAGCAGGAUUACAAGGGGAAGCUCCUUGACUCUCCCCUCCAUCUCUCCUCCUCCCCAUGCCCUCCUCUGAUGGCCUUUAAGGAAAGCCUAGCAGGGACUUGGCCAAGCAGGGGCAGAAGCACUGGAACUAGAUCAUUAGGGAGGCCAAGCAUUCCUUCAGCUGCCUCCAGCAUGCGAGGCCUCUGUUCACACUCAGCUCCAAGCCUCCUGUGUCGAGUGGGAUGAGGGUUUUCAUUGUGCGGGUAAUGUAUAGGUUUUAAUAUACAUGUUUGCAAGCUCCGUCUUUGAUACACCCCGUGCAUUUCUGAAUAGGAACAACGUCCCCGGCGAUUCCUCCAUCUGAGCAGCAGCCAAAUCUGCAGUCGCUCUCCUGUAGAGCAAAGCAAAAGCCAACAAUAAAAAAACUAAAUAGCAAAUCAACAGGGUGUCGUUCUUGAACAAAUGCACAUUCAUAAUUUGCAACUGUGUAGUUAUAAAUCCCCUCCUAGAGCUUCGUUCUAACGACCCAAAGCAGAGAGGAAGCUUUUAUUUUUUUCCCUCCAUUUGGGUAUUGGGUGACAGAGCAAUGUGCAUUUGCCAACAGUGCAAAUAUUUAUACUCUUCAGUACUUUAAAGCCUUAUUUCAGAUGUAGUGGAGUUACAGAGAAUCAAUGCCUGAUUUUACCAAACGCUGCCUUGGCAAGAGAGAGAGAGAGAAGGAGGGAGGGAAAAGAAAAGAGAAAAAAAGAUCCUAAUCCUAUCAACUGCAGAUAUUAAUUUUCGAGAGAAAAGAGUAUUCUUAAUUUGACCCAAGAGGUUUAAAGACGCGGGCUUCAUCACCAGGUCCCCAGCAGAAAUGCUCGUAUGUGUGUGUGACUGUAGGCAUGCAAAUCUUAACCCCAAAUGUUCUUUCCAACCAAAGCCAAGCACACAGUGACUGGGCGAGAGGCAGAACAUUCUGGGAUCCAUUUCGUUUCAAUCCCAACCCUGAUCGAGAGAUGUGGAAGAAGUCAACAGGAAGAGAAUUCUAGAACAAAGAUUAUGUCUGUCAUUCAGAGCAUCCAGUCUGGAGCCGAGUGCUACUUCAGCGUUACUUCCCAAAGUCAGCACCAGAUCAUCUGCCACAAGCCAGACCCUCUAAAUCCUUUCUACACACAGUUCCCGAGCCUCCUGGGCAUGUUCCUUCACAUCAAGUAGUAAUGAACAGAACUUGGUCAACCGCAGAUAAGACUCAUCAAAGUAGAACUUCUGAGACAAAUUGUGUAGAUGUGUUUAAAGUCUGAUGCAUUUUGUCCAUCUCUUCAUUUUACAGAGGAGGAAACUGAGGAACAGAGAUGGUGAUCUUCCACGUGGGCCUUUCUCAGAAACGGCUGCCUCGGCCCCAAGAACCACGGUGACAGGCCUGCUCUGGGGUUAGCUCAGGUGCCUACUUUCCCAAGACGGCGAGCCAAGACCCUUCCCCCUUCCCCGUGGGACACCACACACCUCCAGCUUUCUCGGGAUUACGAGACCACCCUGCCAUGAGACCCUCUGACUUUCUCAUGACAACCUGACCACCAGAGUCCAGCUGCAGGUGGAAGAUAAACUAAACUCCCCCCGGUCAGGGGAUCCCAUCUCCCUUCUGCGGGGUAUAAAGAAGGCCCUGCGAGAAGAGUGGGGAGCUGGCUCUUCUCAAGGGUCAGUCACCCUCUCCCUUUCCCCCCUAAUAAAUUUUCUUCUCUUUGCCUG